GACGAACGCUGGCGGCGUGCUUAACACAUGCAAGUCGAACGGAAAGGCCCUGCUUUUGUGGGGUGCUCGAGUGGCGAACGGGUGAGUAACACGUGAGUAACCUGCCCUUGACUUUGGGAUAACUUCAGGAAACUGGGGCUAAUACCGGAUAGGAGCUCCCGCUGCAUGGUGGGGGUUGGAAAGUUUCGGCGGUUGGGGAUGGACUCGCGGCUUAUCAGCUUGUUGGUGGGGUAGUGGCUUACCAAGGCUUUGACGGGUAGCCGGCCUGAGAGGGUGACCGGCCACAUUGGGACUGAGAUACGGCCCAGACUCCUACGGGAGGCAGCAGUGGGGAAUAUUGCACAAUGGGCGGAAGCCUGAUGCAGCAACGCCGCGUGCGGGAUGACGGCCUUCGGGCUGUAAACCGCUUUCGCCUGUGACGAAGCGUGAGUGACGGUAAUGGGUAAAGAAGCACCGGCUAACUACGUG
Molecule: ribosomal RNA, 468 nt
Filed under: uncultured bacterium
Lineage: Bacteria
Description: partial 16S ribosomal RNA
Rfam family: Bacterial small subunit ribosomal RNA
Source: RNAcentral